UGGGGAAGAGAGAGGGACAGAGAGCCUACUUCUUUAAAGGAGCAAAGUGGGAGAGGAGAGGAGCCGCUUACACGAGUGUAAGCGGCUCCUGUCCGGUUGGCUCCUUUAAAGCAAGCAGGCUCUCUGUCCCUCUCUCCUCCCCA
RNAcentral lists this microRNA precursor (143 nucleotides) under Podarcis lilfordi (Lilford's wall lizard). Lineage: Eukaryota; Metazoa; Chordata; Lepidosauria; Squamata; Lacertidae. The record is from RNAcentral.